This 468-nucleotide ribosomal RNA is filed under the name uncultured bacterium. RNAcentral describes it as "partial 16S ribosomal RNA". It matches the Rfam family "Bacterial small subunit ribosomal RNA", at positions 28 to 507 of the family's 1533-position model. The record is from RNAcentral.
GACGAACGCUGGCGGCGUGCUUAACACAUGCAAGUCGAACGGAAAGGCCCUGCUUUUGUGGGGUGCUCGAGUGGCGAACGGGUGAGUAACACGUGAGUAACCUGCCCUUGACUUUGGGAUAACUUCAGGAAACUGGGGCUAAUACCGGAUAGGAGCUCCUGCUGCAUGGUGGGGGUUGGAAAGUUUCGGCGGUUGGGGAUGGACUCGCGGCUUGUCAGCUUGUUGGUGGGGUAGUGGCUUACCAAGGCUUUGACGGGUAGCCGGCCUGAGAGGGUGACCGGCCACAUUGGGACUGAGAUGCGGCCCAGACUCCUACGGGAGGCAGCAGUGGGGAAUAUUGCACAAUGGGCGGAAGCCUGAUGCAGCAACGCCGCGUGCGGGAUGACGGCCUUCGGGUUGUAAACCGCGUUCGCCUGUGACGAAGCGUGAGUGACGGUAAUGGGUAAAGAAGCACCGGCUAACUACGUG